AUCAAAGAUGUUAUUUAGUGUUUUAAACUUCCGGAUUUUUACACUCGACUUGCAUGCCCUAGAUUUUGUUUCAUUAUAGUUAUAUAUUUGUGCAUUCAUUGAUCAAUGGCACAUCUUAGAUGAGCUCUGGUUGAAUUGCCAAUCAGCUGUCAGUGGAUGUUAACCAAAGAGGUGUGACUUAGUGCACAAAGCAUCUCAGACUUGUGGGUAUUUUGGACAGUUGUACUGGUAGUUCAAAAAUUACAGAAUGCAAUGUAGGAGUAAAUAAGUCGGUACUCAGUAGAACAAGAGGC
RNAcentral lists this unclassified non-coding RNA (293 nucleotides) under Hevea brasiliensis (rubber tree). The record is from RNAcentral. Lineage: Eukaryota; Viridiplantae; Streptophyta; Magnoliopsida; Malpighiales; Euphorbiaceae.